GUAAGAUGACAAAAAAAUCUAAACAAAAGUGAGGAUGAAAUACAAAUAGAUGCACUAAACGGCAGUGGUUGUAGUUGACUUGUGGAGUUUCAAACCAAAGAUGUUAUUGACUAGUUUGGGAGUGGCUUGGUGAAGAUCUACAGGCAUGGGAGUCAUGAAGUUGACUAUCUUUUCAUGGAUAGUGUAUCUUAUCUUCCGACUCUUCGAGGCUCG
This 213-nucleotide unclassified non-coding RNA is filed under the name Hevea brasiliensis (rubber tree). The record is from RNAcentral. Lineage: Eukaryota; Viridiplantae; Streptophyta; Magnoliopsida; Malpighiales; Euphorbiaceae.